RNAcentral lists this ribosomal RNA (1004 nucleotides) under Germalus sp. WCW-2003a. RNAcentral describes it as "partial 18S ribosomal RNA". It matches the Rfam family "Eukaryotic small subunit ribosomal RNA", at positions 408 to 1321 of the family's 1831-position model. The record is from RNAcentral. Lineage: Eukaryota; Metazoa; Arthropoda; Insecta; Hemiptera; Geocoridae.
UACCACAUCCAAGGAAGGCAGCAGGCACGCAAAUUACCCACUCCCGGCACGGGGAGGUAGUGACAAAAAAUAACGAUACGGGACUCAUCCGAGGCCCCGUAAUCGGAAUGAGAACACUCUAAAUCCUUUAACGAUGAUCUAUUGGAGGGAAAGUCUGGUGCCAGCAGCCGCGGUAAUUCCAGCUCCAAUAGCGUAUAUUNNNNNNNNNNNNNNNNNNNNNNNNNNCCGCGCUGUCGGUUCACCGCCUGCCGGUGCAACUGGCAUGCCGCGGCAUGUCCUGUCGGUGGCGGAUAGGCUUCACGGCGCCUCCCUAGCGGUACUCAGUUAUCGUGUGGGCAGCCGCGCCGCGUUGUCCUUGUACGCCGGCUCAAUCCUACCGCGGUGCUCUUCACCGAGUGUCGAGGUAGGCCGACACUGUUUACUUUGAACAAAUUAGAGUGCUUCAAGCAGGCUCUUAAAUCAGCCUGGAUAGUGGUGCAUGGAAUAAUGGAACAGGACCUUGGUUCUAUUUUGUUGGUUUCCGGAAUCCAAGGUAAUGAUCAAUAAGGACGGGCGGGGGCAUUCUCCUUGGCAAAUGCUUUCGCNNNNNNNNNNNNNNNNNNNCGCAAGACGCACUAAAGCGAAAGCAUUUGCCAAGUACGUCUUAAUUGAUCAAGAACGAAAGUUAGAGGUUCGAAGGCGAUCAGAUACCGCCCUAGUUCUAACCAUAAACGAUGCCAGCCAGCGAUCCGCCGACGUUCCUCCGAUGACUCGGCGGGGAGCUUCCCCCGGGGAAACCAAAGCUUUUGGGUUCCGGGGGGAAGUAUGGUUGCAAAGCUGAAAACUUAAAGGAAUUGACGGAAGGGCACCACCAGGAGUGGAGCCUGCGGCUUAAUUUGACUCAACACGGGGGAAACCUCACCAGGCCCGGACAUUGGAAGGAUUGACAGAUCGAUAGCUCUUUCUCGAUUCAGUGGGGAGUGGUGCAUGGCCGUUCUUAGUUGGUGGACUGAUUUGUCUGGUUA